Molecule: ribosomal RNA, 505 nt
Filed under: uncultured bacterium
Lineage: Bacteria
Description: partial 16S ribosomal RNA
Rfam family: Bacterial small subunit ribosomal RNA
Source: RNAcentral
AGUGAACGCUGGCGGUAGGCCUAACACAUGUAAGUCGAACGGCAGCACAGGAGAGCUUGCUCUCUGGGUGGCGAGUGGCGGACGGGUGAGGAAUACAUCGGAAUCUACUUUUUCGUGGGGAUAACGUAGGGAAACUUACGCUAAUACCGCAUACGACCUACGGGUGAAAGCAGGGGAUCUUCGGACCUUGCGCGAUUGAAUGAGCCGAUGUCGGAUUAGCUAGUUGGCGGGGUAAAGGCCCACCAAGGCGACGAUCCGUAGCUGGUCUGAGAGGAUGAUCAGCCACACUGGAACUGAGACACGGUCCAGACUCCUACGGGAGGCAGCAGUGGGGAAUAUUGGACAAUGGGCGCAAGCCUGAUCCAGCCAUACCGCGUGGGUGAAGAAGGCCUUCGGGUUGUAAAGCCCUUUUGUUGGGAAAGAAAUCCAGCUGGUUAAUACCCGGUUGGGAUGACGGUACCCAAAGAAUAAGCACCGGCUAACUUCGUGCCAGCCGCCGCGGUAA